GAAGGGUGCAAGCGUUACUCGGAAUUACUGGGCGUAAAGCGUGCGUAGGUGGUGGUUUAAGUCUGCUGUGAAAGCCCUGGGCUCAACCUGGGAAUUGCAGUGGAUACUGGAUCACUAGAGUGUGGUAGAGGGAUGCGGAAUUUCUGGUGUAGCAGUGAAAUGCGUAGAGAUCAGAAGGAACAUCCGUGGCGAAGGCGGCAUCCUGGGCCAACACUGACACUGAGGCACGAAAGCGUGGGGAGCAAACAGGAUUAGAUACCCUGGUAGUCCACGCCCUAAACGAUGCGAACUGGAUGUUGGGUGCAACUUGGCACCCAGUAUCGAAGCUAACGCGUUAAGUUCGCCGCCUGGGGAGUACGGUCGCAAGACUGAA
Molecule: ribosomal RNA, 373 nt
Filed under: uncultured bacterium
Lineage: Bacteria
Description: bacterial SSU rRNA
Rfam family: Bacterial small subunit ribosomal RNA
Source: RNAcentral